GCCCCGGUAGUGUAGCCCGGAAAUGACCCAUGCGGUUAUUGGGUAAACAAUCAUUUCGCCCUCUCGAGGCGAAGACCCGAGUUCAAAUCUCGGCCGGGGCA
This 101-nucleotide transfer RNA is filed under the name Candidatus Woesearchaeota archaeon CG10_big_fil_rev_8_21_14_0_10_44_13. Its description in RNAcentral is "tRNA-Glu". Lineage: Archaea; Nanobdellati; Candidatus Woesearchaeota. The record is from RNAcentral.